GGAAUAUUUACUUACAUUAAUAAAUGAUGACAUCAAAACGCAAGAUACUAUUUUACGAGAUGCUAUACCUGCUAGAGACAAGUUGCAAGUUACAUUAAGAUUUUUAGCCACCGGAGAAAGUUUCCGCUCAUUAAUGUACAGUAGCCGAAUUCAUGAAAGUACAAUAUCCAAAUUUAUUCCCCUUGUAUUGGAUGCAAUUAUUAAACAUUUAAAACCCUUGUAUCUAAAGACUCCAUCUACAGUAAGAGAGUGGGAAAUUGUUGCAAAAGAAUUUGAAGAAUUAUGGCAAUUUCCACAAUGUUUAGGUGCUUUGGAUGGA
Photinus pyralis (common eastern firefly) is the source of this 319-nucleotide long non-coding RNA. RefSeq lists it as uncharacterized. The record is from RefSeq and is a predicted model, not a curated record. The transcript is spliced from 3 exons. Lineage: Eukaryota; Metazoa; Arthropoda; Insecta; Coleoptera; Lampyridae.